AACGCACAUGGCGCCCCCCGGUAUCCCGGGGGGCAUGCCUGUUCGAGCGUCGGUUGGAUCCCCUCGGGUGCCCCGGCUUCGCGGCUGGGGCCCCCGGUCUUGGGCGCUCCCCCGGUUCCCCGGGGGCACCCGCAACACGUUGGCGGCCGCGGCCGGCCCCCCGACAUGACAUGACCCGUCGGCGUCCGGGCUCCGCCGCGUGCCGGCUCCCAGCCCCGUCACACCCCAACGUUCCGACCUCGGAUCAGGUAGGGAUACCCGCCGAACUUAA
RNAcentral lists this unclassified non-coding RNA (271 nucleotides) under uncultured fungus. Its description in RNAcentral is "partial contains 5.8S ribosomal RNA, internal transcribed spacer 2, and large subunit ribosomal RNA". The stretch from base 1 to 52 matches the Rfam family "5.8S ribosomal RNA", at positions 103 to 154 of the family's 154-position model. Lineage: Eukaryota; Fungi. The record is from RNAcentral.